This 253-nucleotide ribosomal RNA is filed under the name uncultured bacterium. Its description in RNAcentral is "partial 16S ribosomal RNA". It matches the Rfam family "Bacterial small subunit ribosomal RNA", at positions 524 to 776 of the family's 1533-position model. The record is from RNAcentral.
GACGAACCGUGCGAACGUUGUUCGGAAUCACUGGGCUUAAAGGGCGCGUAGGCGGGCCAUAAAGUCAGGGGUGAAAUCCUCCAGCUUAACUGGAGAACUGCCUUUGAUACUGAUGGUCUCGAGUAAGGUAGGGGCAUGCGGAACUGAUGGUGGAGCGGUGAAAUGUGUUGAUAUCGGGAGGAACACCAGUGGCGAAGGCGGCGACCUGGGCAGAUACUGACGCUGAGGUGCGAAAGCGUGGGGAGCAAACAGG